This 172-nucleotide ribosomal RNA is filed under the name Melamphaes lugubris (highsnout bigscale). RNAcentral's name for it is "partial small subunit ribosomal RNA". The record is from RNAcentral. Lineage: Eukaryota; Metazoa; Chordata; Actinopteri; Beryciformes; Melamphaidae.
GACCGCGGUUAGACGAGCGGCUCAAGCUGAUAGCCCCCGGCGUAAAGCGUGGUUAAGGGAUAAAAUAAACUAAAGCCGAAUGCCCUCAAAGCUGUUAUACGCACCCGAAGGUAUGAAGUACCACCACGAAAGUGGCUUUAACCCUCCCCCUGACCCCACGAAAGCUACGCAA